ACUAAGCGUACACGGUGGAUGCCCUGGCAGUCAGAGGCGAUGAAGGACGUGCUAAUCUGCGAUAAGCGUCGGUAAGGUGAUAUGAACCGUUAUAACCGGCGAUUUCCGAAUGGGGAAACCCAGUGUGAUUCGUCACACUAUCAUUAACUGAAUCCAUAGGUUAAUGAGGCGAACCGGGGGAACUGAAACAUCUAAGUACCCCGAGGAAAAGAAAUCAACCGAGAUUCCCCCAGUAGCGGCGAGCGAACGGGGAGCAGCCCAGAGCCUGAAUCAGUGUGUGUGUUAGUGGAAGCGUCUGGAAAGGCGUGCGAUACAGGGUGACAGCCCCGUACACAAAAAUGCACAUGCUGUGAGCUCGAUGAGUAGGGCGGGACACGUGGUAUCCUGUCUGAAUAUGGGGGGACCAUCCUCCAAGGCUAAAUACUCCUGACUGACCGAUAGUGAACCAGUACCGUGAGGGAAAGGCGAAAAGAACCCCGGCGAGGGGAGUGAAAAAGAACCUGAAACCGUGUACGUACAAGCAGUGGGAGCACAGAGCAAUCUGUGUGACUGCGUACCUUUUGUAUAAUGGGUCAGCGACUUAUAUUCUGUAGCAAGGUUAACCGAAUAGGGGAGCCGAAGGGAAACCGAGUCUUAACUGGGCGUUAAGUUGCAGGGUAUAGACCCGAAACCCGGUGAUCUAGCCAUGGGCAGGUUGAAGGUUGGGUAACACUAACUGGAGGACCGAACCGACUAAUGUUGAAAAAUUAGCGGAUGACUUGUGGCUGGGGGUGAAAGGCCAAUCAAACCGGGAGAUAGCUGGUUCUCCCCGAAAGCUAUUUAGGUAGCGCCUCGUGAAUUCAUCUCCGGGGGUAGAGCACUGUUUCGGCAAGGGGGUCAUCCCGACUUACCAACCCGAUGCAAACUGCGAAUACCGGAGAAUGUUAUCACGGGAGACACACGGCGGGUGCUAACGUCCGUCGUGAAGAGGGAAACAACCCAGACCGCCAGCUAAGGUCCCAAAGUCAUGGUUAAGUGGGAAACGAUGUGGGAAGGCCCAGACAGCCAGGAUGUUGGCUUAGAAGCAGCCAUCAUUUAAAGAAAGCGUAAUAGCUCACUGGUCGAGUCGGCCUGCGCGGAAGAUGUAACGGGGCUAAACCAUGCACCGAAGCUGCGGCAGCGACGCUUAUGCGUUGUUGGGUAGGGGAGCGUUCUGUAAGCCUGCGAAGGUGUGCUGUGAGGCAUGCUGGAGGUAUCAGAAGUGCGAAUGCUGACAUAAGUAACGAUAAAGCGGGUGAAAAGCCCGCUCGCCGGAAGACCAAGGGUUCCUGUCCAACGUUAAUCGGGGCAGGGUGAGUCGACCCCUAAGGCGAGGCCGAAAGGCGUAGUCGAUGGGAAACAGGUUAAUAUUCCUGUACUUGGUGUUACUGCGAAGGGGGGACGGAGAAGGCUAUGUUGGCCGGGCGACGGUUGUCCCGGUUUAAGCGUGUAGGCUGGUUUUCCAGGCAAAUCCGGAAAACUAAGGCUGAGGCGUGAUGACGAGGCACUACGGUGCUGAAGCAACAAAUGCCCUGCUUCCAGGAAAAGCCUCUAAGCAUCAGGUAACAUCAAAUCGUACCCCAAACCGACACAGGUGGUCAGGUAGAGAAUACCAAGGCGCUUGAGAGAACUCGGGUGAAGGAACUAGGCAAAAUGGUGCCGUAACUUCGGGAGAAGGCACGCUGAUAUGUAGGUGAAGCGACUUGCUCGUGGAGCUGAAAUCAGUCGAAGAUACCAGCUGGCUGCAACUGUUUAUUAAAAACACAGCACUGUGCAAACACGAAAGUGGACGUAUACGGUGUGACGCCUGCCCGGUGCCGGAAGGUUAAUUGAUGGGGUUAGCGCAAGCGAAGCUCUUGAUCGAAGCCCCGGUAAACGGCGGCCGUAACUAUAACGGUCCUAAGGUAGCGAAAUUCCUUGUCGGGUAAGUUCCGACCUGCACGAAUGGCGUAAUGAUGGCCAGGCUGUCUCCACCCGAGACUCAGUGAAAUUGAACUCGCUGUGAAGAUGCAGUGUACCCGCGGCAAGACGGAAAGACCCCGUGAACCUUUACUAUAGCUUGACACUGAACAUUGAGCCUUGAUGUGUAGGAUAGGUGGGAGGCUUUGAAGUGUGGACGCCAGUCUGCAUGGAGCCGACCUUGAAAUACCACCCUUUAAUGUUUGAUGUUCUAACGUUGACCCGUAAUCCGGGUUGCGGACAGUGUCUGGUGGGUAGUUUGACUGGGGCGGUCUCCUCCUAAAGAGUAACGGAGGAGCACGAAGGUUGGCUAAUCCUGGUCGGACAUCAGGAGGUUAGUGCAAUGGCAUAAGCCAGCUUGACUGCGAGCGUGACGGCGCGAGCAGGUGCGAAAGCAGGUCAUAGUGAUCCGGUGGUUCUGAAUGGAAGGGCCAUCGCUCAACGGAUAAAAGGUACUCCGGGGAUAACAGGCUGAUACCGCCCAAGAGUUCAUAUCGACGGCGGUGUUUGGCACCUCGAUGUCGGCUCAUCACAUCCUGGGGCUGAAGUAGGUCCCAAGGGUAUGGCUGUUCGCCAUUUAAAGUGGUACGCGAGCUGGGUUUAGAACGUCGUGAGACAGUUCGGUCCCUAUCUGCCGUGGGCGCUGGAGAACUGAGGGGGGCUGCUCCUAGUACGAGAGGACCGGAGUGGACGCAUCACUGGUGUUCGGGUUGUCAUGCCAAUGGCACUGCCCGGUAGCUAAAUGCGGAAGAGAUAAGUGCUGAAAGCAUCUAAGCACGAAACUUGCCCCGAGAUGAGUUCUCCCUGACUCCUUGAGAGUCCUGAAGGAACGUUGAAGACGACGACGUUGAUAGGCCGGGUGUGUAAGCGCAGCGAUGCGUUGAGCUAACCGGUACUAAUGAACCGUGAGGCUUAACC
RNAcentral lists this ribosomal RNA (2895 nucleotides) under human gut metagenome. Its description in RNAcentral is "bacterial LSU rRNA". It matches the Rfam family "Bacterial large subunit ribosomal RNA". The record is from RNAcentral.